UACGAAGGGUGCAAGCGUUACUCGGAAUUACUGGGCGUAAAGCGUGCGCAGGCGGUUCGUUGUGUCGGUGGUGAAAGCCCCGGGCUUAACCUGGGAAUGGCCAUGGAAACUGGCGAACUGGAGUGUGGCAGAGGGGGGUGGAAUUCCGCGUGUAGCAGUGAAAUGCGUAGAGAUGCGGAGGAACACCGAUGGCGAAGGCAGCCCCCUGGGCUAGCACUGACGCUCAGGCACGAAAGCGUGGGGAGCGAACAGG
RNAcentral lists this ribosomal RNA (253 nucleotides) under uncultured bacterium. Its description in RNAcentral is "partial 16S ribosomal RNA". It matches the Rfam family "Bacterial small subunit ribosomal RNA", at positions 524 to 776 of the family's 1533-position model. The record is from RNAcentral.